Molecule: long non-coding RNA, 282 nt
Filed under: Lathyrus oleraceus (garden pea)
Lineage: Eukaryota; Viridiplantae; Streptophyta; Magnoliopsida; Fabales; Fabaceae
Description: Pisum sativum (pea) long non-coding RNA (PSAT_LNC007649)
Source: RNAcentral
UUACAUUUAUCUAUAAUUAAAUUUUGAGAUGUUUUUUUAACUUUAUUAUUUCAUUUGUUUAUACACAACUCUAUUCAUUUUUUUUAUUCAUGUGUAUUAUGUUUCUUCAUUUACAUUGUUGAUAGACAUGAACAAAAACUAAUAACUAUAAAAUGCCUGAAAUAUUUAUUUGUAUUCACUCGUGUUCUUUUAUUUAAUUUAUUACUUUUUCAUGUAUUUUUAUGUUUCUUCAUUUGCAUUAUUGAUAGAUCUAAAAAACAAAAAUAAAUUAGUAACUAUGAG